This 840-nucleotide ribosomal RNA is filed under the name uncultured bacterium. RNAcentral describes it as "bacterial SSU rRNA". It matches the Rfam family "Bacterial small subunit ribosomal RNA", at positions 8 to 846 of the family's 1533-position model. The record is from RNAcentral.
AGAGUUUGAUCCUGGCUCAGGAUGAACGCUAGCGGCAGGCUUAAUACAUGCAAGUCGAGGGGCAACAGGGGUAGCAAUACCUGCUGGCGACCGGCAAACGGGUGCGGAACACGUACAGAACCUUCCUUUAAGCGGGGAAUAGCCCGGAGAAAUCCGGAUUAAUACCCCAUAGUAAUAUUUGGUGGCAUCACUUGAAUAUUUAAAGAUUUAUCACUUAAAGAUGGCUGUGCGUCUGAUUAGGUAGUUGGUGCGGGUAACGGCCCACCAAGCCAUCGAUCAGUAACUGGUGUGAGAGCACGACCAGUCACACGGGCACUGAGACACGGGCCCGACUCCUACGGGAGGCAGCAGUAAGGAAUAUUGGUCAAUGGACGCAAGUCUGAACCAGCCAUGCCGCGUGAAGGAUGAAGGCCCUCUGGGUUGUAAACUUCUUUUAUCUGGGAAGAAACCACUUUUUUAUAAAGGUGUUGACGGUACCAGAGGAAUAAGCACCGGCUAACUCCGUGCCAGCAGCCGCGGUAAUACGGAGGGUGCAAGCGUUAUCCGGAUUCACUGGGUUUAAAGGGUGCGUAGGUGGGAAUGUAAGCCAGUGGUGAAAUCUCCGUGCUUAACAUGGAAACUGCCAUUGAUACUAUAUUUCUUGAAUCUUCCGGAGGUCAGCGGAAUAUGUCAUGUAGCGGUGAAAUGCUUAGAUAUGACAUAGAACACCAAUUGCGAAGGCAGCUGACUACAGGAGCAUUGACACUGAGGCACGAAAGCGUGGGGAUCAAACAGGAUUAGAUACCCUGGUAGUCCACGCCCUAAACUAUGGAUACUCGACAUUUGUGAUACACAUAGUGU